GCCUCGGCUAGGUCAGUUGGUGUUUCUGUGUGCAGUUUGCUUGUUCUCCCAGCAUUCGUGUGGGUUUCCUCCAGGUGCUCCAGUUUCCCUCACAGUUCAAACACAUGCGCUAUAGGGGAAUUGAUGCACUAAAUUGACCAUAGUAUGAGUGUAAAUGAGUGUGUAUGGAUGUUUCCCAGAGAUGGGUUGCAGCUGGAAGGGCAUCCGCUGCGUAAAACAUGUGCUGGAUAAGUUGGCAGUUCAUUCCGCUGUUGAGACCCCGCAUCAAUAAAGGGACUAAGCUGAAAAGAAAAUGAAUGAAUGAACUUUGUCAUAAUGUUGAUGGAAGAUGUUUUUAGAACAAAGUUCUUGGAACGUCUUCAUGAAGUUAUUUGUUCUCAGGGAUGGGCAUAAAAUUUUGUAUCGAAAUACUUCAGUGUCUUGUAUUUUUGUCAUUUCAAAAUAACGUAAAAUACUUUGCAAGAUGUUUACAGUACAUGAUUACAUCUUAAAAAGGAGGCCUCUGAUCACUUGCCUAUAAGCUUGUAAUCAGAAGAAUCACCUUCUAAAUCACCUUCUAUUUUUAGAUGGUGGUCAAUGAUUCAAGUAUGAAUGGAAAUUAUGCUAAAAAGAAAGUAACAGACAAAUGGCAAGGGUAUAUUCAGGAGCAAGUCAGCACACAUUGAAAAUAGCAGGUGAGCAAUGCUAAGACCAGAGAUAAUGGCUGUAUAGUGUACAAUUCAGCAUCUUUGCUUAAGAAAUUAGAUGGAAUAAUAAAUAUCUUAAAAACAGGAUUUGGAGCUUCUAAACAUCAAUCAGUCAAUAUCUGACAUUGUGCUUUAUAUUCAUACGCUAUACACAUUUUAUGUGCUGU
Molecule: long non-coding RNA, 853 nt
Filed under: Danio rerio (zebrafish)
Lineage: Eukaryota; Metazoa; Chordata; Actinopteri; Cypriniformes; Danionidae
Description: si:dkey-78o7.6 (ENSDARG00000100855.2)
Source: RNAcentral